Sapajus apella (tufted capuchin) is the source of this 1099-nucleotide RNA transcript. It is a transcript of the gene named zinc finger SWIM-type containing 7, with no coding region annotated. NCBI's taxonomy places the organism in Eukaryota, Metazoa, Chordata, Mammalia, Primates, Cebidae. The record is from RefSeq and is a predicted model, not a curated record. The transcript is spliced from 7 exons.
CCGGGCACCGCCGGGCCGGGAGGCAGGAGGCGGGGCGUCCGGGCCUGGCCCUGCCUUUUCUGCGUGUGGUUCUUGUAAACCUUAUGUUCUUAAAAAAAGAAAAAAGCGAAAUUGGAACAAGUAAAAGUCAAAUCGAUUCAGCAAAUGUUUAGGGUACAGCGCAGUUGCAGGAGCCCCUCCGUCGGAGCGAGCAGGCCAGUGGGGACCGAAGUGCCGAAACCUGGUUGGGUCCCUGAGAGGGGUCCCUGCCCCGGAGUGGAAGGGACAGGAGCCUACCUUCCUGAUGAAUAUCUGUUAUCGCUGAAGUUUCUCUUUGGCUCAUCAGCCACCCAGGCCUUGGACCUAGUUGAUCGACAAUCCAUCACCUUAAUCUCAUCACCCAGUGGAAGGCGUGUUUACCAGGUACUUGGAAGUUCUGGGAAAACAUACACAUGUUUGGCUUCUUGUCAUUACUGUUCAUGUCCUGCAUUUGCCUUCUCAGUGCUACGGAAGAGUGACAGCAUCCUGUGCAAGCAUCUCCUGGCAGUUUACCUUAGUCAGGUUAUGAGGACCUGUCAGCAGCUAAGUGUCUCUGACAAGCAGUUGACUGACAUAUUAUUGAUGGAGAAGAAACAAGAACCAUAAAAGGGCAAAUGAAGGAACAGAUGAAAAAUCAUGUCCUAGAAGGAAACUACAUUUCAGUCCAAAGAAGAAAAGACAAAAUAGGUAACAAGACUGUUAGAAGAGCGAGCAAAGAAAAUAAUUCAUGAAGAAGAAAAUAAAAUCAAUUUAAUCAUAAGACAAGAACUUACGGUAAAACUGCCCACAGCCAGAAGAGGAUCCUAGAAGGACAGGAACUCCCUGUCUGCAGCAUUUCAUAAGCAUGUAAUAUCCUUGCAGGAUACUGCAGAAGGAAUUGAUGCAAUGGACAAACAGAGGAUAUAGGUGAUUUUACAGCCCAAGAAAAGCCCAUGCUUUUGCCCCCAGAACAUGAGAUGCUAGUGAAUAAAUGCUGGGUGAAAAGCCCAGGGCCGGGAUGUUGUAAUGUUCUGUGGUUGGCAGAUGUUUUUUGUUUUGUUAAAGUGUAACAAAUAUCUAUCAAGACUUUUCUGCUACUCGG